UUCGCAAUGCCCGAAAGGGUGAACGAGCGACGCCGCGUGCGGGAUGAAGGGUUUCGGCUUGUAAACCGCUUUUCUUUGGGAAGAAGGACUGUCUCGUGAAGAUGGGCUCGACGGUACCAGAGGAAUAAGCCUCGGCUAACUCCGUGCCAGCAGCCGCGGUAAGACGGAGGAGGCGAGCGUUGUUCGGAAUUAUUGGGCGUAAAGGGCGCGCAGGCGGUUGAGCAAGUCCAUUGUGAAAUCCCCACGGCUUAACCGGGGAACUGCAGUGGAUACUACUUGACUUGAGUGCAGGAGGGGAGAGUGGAAUUCCAGGUGGAGCGGUGAAAUGCGUAGAUAUCUGGAGGAACGCCGGUGGCGAAAGCGACUCUCUGGUCUGUAACUGACGCUGAGGUGCGAAAGCUAGGGGAGCAAACGGGAUUAGAUACCCCGGUAGUCCUAGCCCUAAACGAUGGGCACUAAGUAGAGGGGUUUU
This 472-nucleotide ribosomal RNA is filed under the name uncultured bacterium. RNAcentral's name for it is "bacterial SSU rRNA". It matches the Rfam family "Bacterial small subunit ribosomal RNA", at positions 364 to 832 of the family's 1533-position model. The record is from RNAcentral.